This 75-nucleotide transfer RNA is filed under the name Blumeria hordei DH14. RNAcentral's name for it is "tRNA-Val (AAC) (tRNA-Val-AAC-5 1 to 3)". The record is from RNAcentral. Lineage: Eukaryota; Fungi; Ascomycota; Leotiomycetes; Helotiales; Erysiphaceae.
GGCCGGAUGGUGUAGUUGGUUUAUCACAUGUCCUUAACACGGACAAGGUCCUGAGUUCAAGCCUCAGUCUGGUCA